UAAACAUUUAGACCGUCGAUCUAUCGAGCAAUUUCACCCGCUCGAUGAAAGAUCUUUGUCGC
Molecule: microRNA precursor, 62 nt
Filed under: Bombyx mori (domestic silkworm)
Lineage: Eukaryota; Metazoa; Arthropoda; Insecta; Lepidoptera; Bombycidae
Description: mir-2774 microRNA precursor family
Rfam family: mir-2774 microRNA precursor family
Source: Rfam by way of RNAcentral